Molecule: ribosomal RNA, 249 nt
Filed under: uncultured bacterium
Lineage: Bacteria
Description: partial small subunit ribosomal RNA
Rfam family: Bacterial small subunit ribosomal RNA
Source: RNAcentral
AGGACGAACGCUGGCGGCGUGCUUAACACAUGCAAGUCGAGCGGAAAGGCCCUUCGGGGUACUCGAGCGGCGAACGGGUGAGUAACACGUGAGCAACCUGCCCUUAGCUCUGGGAUAGCUCCGGGAAAACCGGAAUUAAUACCGGAUAUUACACCGGCUGGCAUCGGCUGGUGUGGAAAGAUUUAUCGGCUAAGGAUGGACUCGCGGCCUAUCAGCUUGUUGGUGGGGUAGAAGCCUACCAAGGCGACG